CGCUUCAUGAAAUAUAAAUGCAAGAAAGACUCAGGGAGCUCAAUAAAAACCUUCCACCCAUCAGCCUAGGAGGAGAAGAGCCACGUAAGCAACUACAGAAAAUGGCUUGGGGAGUCCCGACAGCAGUCUACCUUUUAUUCAAUGCAAUGGCAGCCUUGGCUAAAGAGGCAGUCGUGACUGUAACGCCUCCAAUCACAGCCCAGCAAAGUAACUGGACAGUUAACAAAACAGCAGCUGACUUUAGAGAAGGACUCAUGGCCUUGAAGUUCUCCCACCCUUGCCUGGAAGAGCAUGAUAGUUACUGCAUCAAUGGUGUUUGCCUAUUCCACCAUGAGUUAGAGAAAGUCAUCUGCAGGUGUUUCACUGGUUAUACUGGAGAAAGGUGUGAACACUUGACCUUAACUUCAUAUGCUGUGGAUUCUUAUGAAAAAUACAUUGCAAUUGGGAUUGGUGUUGGAUUGCUAUUAAGUGGUUUUCUUGCUAUUUUUUACUGCUACAUAAGAAAAAGACAUUUUUAGCCUGAAGAACUAUUUUGGUGUCAGAGAUUGCUACUGCAUGACUGAACUCAGAUGAAAGAAAUGGAAAUUUCCAUGUGUCAAGAGGAGAGGACAACUUCAGGGUCGUGGAGAAGCUGAUGCCAUAAUGUGGAGAAAGUGAUGUUAUUCCCAUUCAAGCCAAUGGAAUCAACACAAUGAAUUUAAUACUAAGAAUGAUAGAGGGAUGAAAAUCAGUGCCUAUAAAGCAGUCUCCAUUUCUCUGUGAGGAAUACCUCGAAGAUCCCCAGUGGAUGCCUGAAGAUCCAAGCAUUCAUUGUCACCAGUCCCUCCUGAAUCAAAGAUGUACAUGCGCAAGAAUUUCAACAGUGAAAAGUAGAACUAGUAACUUAGUUAAUCCAUAGAACUGGGUGAUGUCUCUCAUCUUAAUAACAUUGCAGAUGUGUUUAUCUUUCAGGUUUCAGUAUGACUCUAGCAUUAGUUUUCAGAAAUGAACAUCCAAAUGCGAUCAGGUGUUUUUUUAUGUGGGACAGCAGGGUGUUGUGUUGGUUGAGCUCCUAAUUGCUGGGUUGCUCCUAGGAGGAGUCCCUUGGCUUCUUAAAUUGUAAGGUGUUUUCCCAAAAUGAAUCAUCUCAUCUUUGACCACUUUUUCUAAGCAUGAUUCAAGGUGUUAUAUAGUCUUCAACAAACAGCAUGUUCUUGAGGUUGUGUAAAGUCCUUUUUUUCUGCCCAGCAGGCUUUCGGUUGUCUCCACCAAACGCAUCAUACAACAUAGUGACUUGAGAGCAGAACCAGCCACUACUGAGAAGUAAUGUGCAGUGGACAGGUUAAUGGGCAAUUCUUCCUUACCAUGGACCCUAAACUUGAAUCAUAGGCUUCUAACAAAACUGGUCCAGGAGCUAGUUGAGAUAAUAUGCACAUUGUUAAUGUAAUAGGAAUCAGAGUUGCAAUAAUGAAUAACAUUGUAAUGUCUGAUCACUACCAGAUAUAGGACAACCCAGUGUAAUUUAUUUCUCUUUCUAUAAUUUAUAAUAUGAAAUUCAGCUUUGGUAAUCAAUAAAUUCAUUCAACAACUAUGUAUAUAGUGCCUAUGAUACAACUAAAUUAGAGACAGUUGGAUAUCCAAACACAAGUAAGGUAUAGUUUGGUUUCAAAAAAAUUAGAAUCUGGCAUUGAAAAGAAUACAAUGUUUAAAUUGCCAUUAACAAGGACAACAGAUAGUACUGCACUACUUAUAUGUUCCAGGCCAUGUUCUAAAUUUUUUUUAACUUUAUUACUUUAUUUAAUCCUUACAACACCUCUCUUAUCAUCUAAUGUUAUAUAUGAGAAAGUUUUCUUGAAUUUACAUAAUUACUUAGUAAUAGGAUCUAUAUUCAAAUAUAGGAAGCUCAAAAAACUACUUAUUUACAGGUGUCAAUACAAAAAAUAACUAUUUUCAAUUUUUUCAACACAAAACAAAUGAAUAUGUUAAAAAGGAAUGAACAUUUUGAAGAUGGAAAAAACCACACUCAACUGUGACACCAGUACACCUUGAAGGAGAUUGGUUUGGAAAUAAAAUUUGAAAUAUAAUUAGGAUAUGCACGUGAAAAUAAAAGGUACUUCAAAAAAUGGGAAAAGGGAAUUAAAAGAUCUUUAUU
Molecule: non-coding RNA, 2131 nt
Organism: Oryctolagus cuniculus (rabbit)
Lineage: Eukaryota; Metazoa; Chordata; Mammalia; Lagomorpha; Leporidae
Source: RefSeq, a predicted model, not a curated record